CCUACGUGAGGCAGCAGUGAGGAAUAUUGGUCAAUGGUCGGGAGACUGAACCAGCCAAGCCGCGUGAGGGAUGAAGGUACAGAGUAUCGUAAACCUCUUUUGUCAGGGAACAAAGGCGGGGACGUGUCCCCGGAUGAGUGUACCUGAAGAAAAAGCAUCGGCUAACUCCGUGCCAGCAGCCGCGGUAAUACGUAGGGAGCAAGCGUUGUCCGGAAUUACUGGGCGUAAAGGGCGCGUAGGUGGGUGCUUAAGUCAGGUGUGAAAACUCUGGGCUCAACCUGGAGACUGCACUUGAAACUGGGUAUCUGGAGGGCAGGAGAGGAAAGUGGAAUUCCUAGUGUAGCGGUGAAAUGCGUAGAUAUUAGGAGGAACACCAGUGGCGAAGGCGACUUUCUGGACUGUACCUGACGCUGAGGCGCGAAAGCGUGGGUAGCGAACGGGAUUAGAUACCCGUGUAGUC
This 460-nucleotide ribosomal RNA is filed under the name uncultured bacterium. RNAcentral's name for it is "partial 16S ribosomal RNA". It matches the Rfam family "Bacterial small subunit ribosomal RNA", at positions 338 to 795 of the family's 1533-position model. The record is from RNAcentral.